RNAcentral lists this ribosomal RNA (862 nucleotides) under Lactiplantibacillus plantarum. RNAcentral describes it as "bacterial SSU rRNA". It matches the Rfam family "Bacterial small subunit ribosomal RNA", at positions 60 to 900 of the family's 1533-position model. Lineage: Bacteria; Bacillati; Bacillota; Bacilli; Lactobacillales; Lactobacillaceae. The record is from RNAcentral.
AGUUCGAACGAACUCUGGUAUUGAUUGGUGCUUGCAUCAUGAUUUACAUUUGAGUGAGUGGCGAACUGGUGAGUAACACGUGGGAAACCUGCCCAGAAGCGGGGGAUAACACCUGGAAACAGAUGCUAAUACCGCAUAACAACUUGGACCGCAUGGUCCGAGUUUGAAAGAUGGCUUCGGCUAUCACUUUUGGAUGGUCCCGCGGCGUAUUAGCUAGAUGGUGGGGUAACGGCUCACCAUGGCAAUGAUACGUAGCCGACCUGAGAGGGUAAUCGGCCACAUUGGGACUGAGACACGGCCCAAACUCCUACGGGAGGCAGCAGUAGGGAAUCUUCCACAAUGGACGAAAGUCUGAUGGAGCAACGCCGCGUGAGUGAAGAAGGGUUUCGGCUCGUAAAACUCUGUUGUUAAAGAAGAACAUAUCUGAGAGUAACUGUUCAGGUAUUGACGGUAUUUAACCAGAAAGCCACGGCUAACUACGUGCCAGCAGCCGCGGUAAUACGUAGGUGGCAAGCGUUGUCCGGAUUUAUUGGGCGUAAAGCGAGCGCAGGCGGUUUUUUAAGUCUGAUGUGAAAGCCUUCGGCUCAACCGAAGAAGUGCAUCGGAACUGGGAAACUUGAGUGCAGAAGAGGACAGUGGAACUCCAUGUGUAGCGGUGAAAUGCGUAGAUAUAUGGAAGAACACCAGUGGCGAAAGCGGCUGUCUGGUCUGUAACUGACGCUGAGGCUCGAAAGUAUGGGUAGCAACAGAUUAGAUACCCUGGUAGUCCAUACCGUAACGAUGAUGCUAGUGUUGAGGUUUCGCCCUCAGUGCUGCAGCUACGCAUAGCAUCCGCCUGGGGAGUACGCCGCAAGGCUGAAAC